This 735-nucleotide non-coding RNA is filed under the name Sphaeroforma arctica JP610. Its description in RNAcentral is "Bacterial large subunit ribosomal RNA". It matches the Rfam family "Bacterial large subunit ribosomal RNA", at positions 170 to 713 of the family's 2925-position model. Lineage: Eukaryota; Ichthyosporea; Ichthyophonida. The record is from Rfam by way of RNAcentral.
GGGGGUAAAAAGAAGCAUAUGAACUGAAACAUCUAAGUAAUGUGUAUAAAUAAAUCUAACGAGAUUGCGUGAAUAGUGGCGAGCGAAAGCGGAAGAACCGAAAGAGCUAGACAUCCCGUAAGGAGGGCACCUCCCUGCGGGAUCAAAAGAAUAGACCGAAGGUCUCUUGAUGCCCCCUGUGGCCGAGAUACUGUGACCCGGCACGGGCAAUGCUGUCGCCUGACGGCAUCCAGAGCCCGCCUACCGGGAUCAAGAGCUGAAUGAGAAGAGAUUAGAAGAACAGAGGGGGAAAGGAUCCUGUAAGUUGGCGUAGCACACAGUAUCGUAGAGGCAGGUAGCGUAGGUGUCCCUUCGGGGUAGUGGAGGAGGUAAACUCCUCCUACACUCGAGUACCCUCAGGGGGCUACGAUGGCUCAGACAUCAAAAAGUAGAGGGGAACACGUGAAAUUCCCUUUGAAUAACGGUGGACCUCCAUCGAAGGUUAAAGAAAGUAUUUUAUCGAUAGAGAACAAGUACUGUGAAGGAAAGUCUGAAAAAGAACCACUAAGUGGAGUGAAAUAGAUCAAGAAAUCCGGUGUGAAAUAGCAGUUGAAGUUGAAAAGAACAACGACGUACCUAUUGCAUAAUGGGUCAGCGAGUAUAAAGGAAUAGCAAGUUUGCCCGGGUCCUAAGGAUCCUAUAAAAAUUAGACGUAGCGAAAGCAAGUUUGAAAGAGCGUAAGUGAAUUCUUUAUGA